AUACGUAGGGAGCGAGCGUUGUCCGGAAUUACUGGGUGUAAAGGGUGCGUAGGCGGGGAUGCAAGUCAGAUGUGAAAUGUAUGGGCUCAACCCAUGAACUGCAUUUGAAACUGCAACUCUUGAGUGAGGGAGAGGUAAGCGGAAUUCCUAGUGUAGCGGUGAAAAGCGUAGAGAUCGGGAGGAACACCAGUGGCGAAGGCGGGUAACUGGACUGCAACUGACGCUGAGGCGCGAAAGUGUGGGGAGCAAACAGGAUUAGAUACCCUGGUAGUCCACACUGUAAACGAUGAAUGCUAGGUGUAGGAGGUAUCGACCCCUUCUGUGCCGCAGUAAACACAGUAAGCAUUCCGCCUGGGGAGUACGGUCGCAAGAUUAAAACUCAAAGGAAUUGACGGGG
Molecule: ribosomal RNA, 397 nt
Filed under: uncultured bacterium
Lineage: Bacteria
Description: partial 16S ribosomal RNA
Rfam family: Bacterial small subunit ribosomal RNA
Source: RNAcentral